UACAGAGGGGGCGAGCGUUGUUCGGAAUUACUGGGCGUAAAGGGCGCGUAGGCGGCCAACUAAGUCAGACGUGAAAUCCCUCGGCUCAACCGGGGAACUGCGUCUGAUACUGGAUGGCUUGAGUUCGGGAGAGGGAUGCGGAAUUCCAGGUGUAGCGGUGAAAUGCGUAGAUAUCUGGAGGAACACCGGUGGCGAAGGCGGCAUCCUGGACCGACACUGACGCUGAGGAGCGAAAGCCAGGGGAGCAAACGGG
RNAcentral lists this ribosomal RNA (253 nucleotides) under uncultured bacterium. RNAcentral's name for it is "partial 16S ribosomal RNA". It matches the Rfam family "Bacterial small subunit ribosomal RNA", at positions 524 to 776 of the family's 1533-position model. The record is from RNAcentral.